This 610-nucleotide ribosomal RNA is filed under the name uncultured bacterium. RNAcentral describes it as "bacterial SSU rRNA". It matches the Rfam family "Bacterial small subunit ribosomal RNA", at positions 338 to 956 of the family's 1533-position model. The record is from RNAcentral.
CCUACGGGAGGCAGCAGUAGGGAAUAUUGGGCAAUGGAGGCAACUCUGACCCAGCCAUGCCGCGUGCAGGAUGAAGGCGUUAUGCGUUGUAAACUGCUUUUAUAUAGGAAGAAAUAGACCUUGCGAGGUAAGUUGACGGUACUAUAUGAAUAAGCACCGGCUAACUCCGUGCCAGCAGCCGCGGUAAUACGGAGGGUGCAAGCGUUGUCCGGAUUUAUUGGGUUUAAAGGGUGCGUAGGCGGUUUAUUAAGUCAGUGGUGAAAGACGGUCGCUCAACGAUUGCAGUGCCAUUGAUACUGGUAGACUUGAGUGUGAUUGAGGUAGCUGGAAUGGAUAGUGUAGCGGUGAAAUGCAUAGAUAUUAUCCAGAACACCAAUUGCGUAGGCAAGUUACUAAGUCACAACCGACGCUGAGGCACGAAAGUGUGGGUAUCAAACAGGAUUAGAUACCCUGGUAGUCCACACUGUAAACGAUGAUAACUAACUGUUGGCUUUUGGGUCAGUGGUACAGAGAAAUCGUUAAGUUAUCCACCUGGGGAGUACGCCGGCAACGGUGAAACUCAAAGAGUAGUAGCGNGNGAGAGACGACGACGACGACGAGGAGGAGGAGG